This 74-nucleotide transfer RNA is filed under the name Betaproteobacteria bacterium. RNAcentral's name for it is "tRNA-OTHER". It matches the Rfam family "tRNA". Rfam says of the family: Transfer RNA (tRNA) molecules are approximately 80 nucleotides in length. Their secondary structure includes four short double-helical elements and three loops (D, anti-codon, and T loops). The record is from RNAcentral. Lineage: Bacteria; Pseudomonadati; Pseudomonadota; Betaproteobacteria.
GCGGGGAUAGCUUAAUUGUCAGAGCACGACUACCCAAAGUCGAGGUGUGAGUUAGACCCUCACUCCCUGCUCCA